Molecule: non-coding RNA, 101 nt
Organism: Acanthosepion pharaonis
Lineage: Eukaryota; Metazoa; Mollusca; Cephalopoda; Sepiida; Sepiidae
Source: the annotation of a GenBank genome assembly
GCAUUGAAACACCAUUUCCCGUACGAUCAUCGAAGCUAAGCAACGUCGAGCCUGGUCAGUACCAAGAUGGGUGACCGCUUGCGAAUACCAGGUGCUGUAAG